Emys orbicularis (European pond turtle) is the source of this 339-nucleotide long non-coding RNA. RefSeq lists it as uncharacterized. Lineage: Eukaryota; Metazoa; Chordata; Testudines; Emydidae. The record is from RefSeq and is a predicted model, not a curated record. The transcript is spliced from 3 exons.
AGAACGCGGGUCCAGGUGGAUGCAGAGGACGCGGGCUUUGACUUGGCUGAGUGCUUCCAGGCUCCCCCACCGGGAUAAAAGCCUUCCCGUCUUCUGCCAGCAGCAUGGUCGUGUCCUGGCUUCCCCCAGCUAAGCCGAACGGGAUCAUCCAGAAGUACACCAUCUUCUGCGCCAGCCCUGGGUCCGGACAGCCGGUGAGAAGCCCAGACUGUUUGAUAGGGCUGCCCUUCCUCUUCCAUUGCACAGCUCCCUGCUGUUGGGUGAGAAAUCUUUUGGCUUUGAAAUGGUAUUUAGCUUGGUGAUGUUUAGGAAUUGGUUACAAAAGAAAUAAAAUGUGUA